UGACCUUGACCUCAUUUUCAUGGUUCAGUGGUCAAAGUUAAGUUUUUGAGUUUUGGUCUUUUUAUCUAAUACUCUAUGCCAUAGGUCAACUAUAUUUGGUGUAUGGAAUAUUUUUAUGAUUUUAUGUCAAUCGCACAGGUUUUAUUUGACCUUGACCUCAUUUUCACGGUUCAUUGCACAGUGUUAAGGUUUUGUGUUUUGGUCUAUUUUUCUUAAACUAUAAGUAAUCGGUCAACUAUAUAUGUUGUAUAGAAGCAUUGUUAGCUGUACAUGUCUGCCUGGCAUGG
Molecule: long non-coding RNA, 287 nt
Filed under: Mytilus galloprovincialis (Mediterranean mussel)
Lineage: Eukaryota; Metazoa; Mollusca; Bivalvia; Mytilida; Mytilidae
Source: RNAcentral